RNAcentral lists this unclassified non-coding RNA (222 nucleotides) under plant metagenome. RNAcentral describes it as "partial contains small subunit ribosomal RNA and internal transcribed spacer 1". The stretch from base 1 to 46 matches the Rfam family "Eukaryotic small subunit ribosomal RNA", at positions 1786 to 1831 of the family's 1831-position model. The record is from RNAcentral.
AAGUCGUAACAAGGUUUUCGUAGGUGAACCUGCGGAAGGAUCAUUAGUGCAAUGUUGGAUUUCUCUGCAAAGAGUUCAAUCCUUUUCACUAUUCAUACACACUUGUGCAUCUGUUCUUUUAUUUCUUAACAAACUCUAAAGUUUGUUAACGAAUUUAAAAUACACAUUUGAUUAUAUUAAUAACAGUUGUUUAUGAGAUAAAAUUGAAAAGGAAAGUAAAAA